UCAAGUUGUGUUAUUUAAUGCUCGUAAUUUAGACACAAAUGAUAGAAAUGUUAGGUUUAUAUGCCAAAGAUAUGCCAUGUGAAAAUUUUAGUGCAAAUACGCAUGCGUGCGCGCCGUGCACAUAAAGCCACCCCACCCCCACGUAUCCGCGCGCCGGUCGGUGGGUGUUGGGCGUCAAUAAAGGUAAUCUGGUUGUCGCGCUUUCUGCAUCUCUGCACGAGCUAAAGAAGUCUCAAAGAUGAAUGCCGCUGUUAUUAUCACUGUGACGGAAGAGCGGUCCUGAAAAAUACGGCCUCCAUCGAGAGACUGAACGUAACACGACUGCAGGUUACUACUAUGAUCAUAGAAAAAUGUAUUAAUUAUUUGUUUCAACUGUAUAGUUAUUGUGGUUGAGCAGAGGAAGGGAGGUUUGUGAGAAUCGGAGUUACAUUAGCUAAUGAUUAUGGCAGCGCUCGCGCCCGAGUAAGCCCUGGCUGCAGCCUGCAGAAUGGGUCAACAAGAUUCAAGAUUCAAGAUUCAAGUUUUAUUGCCGUUUGCACAUGCGGUACAUCGGAAUUUUUCUUUGGCAUCUCUCAUGUCAGGAUAAGUUAAAAAAA
Molecule: non-coding RNA, 596 nt
Organism: Oryzias latipes (Japanese medaka)
Lineage: Eukaryota; Metazoa; Chordata; Actinopteri; Beloniformes; Adrianichthyidae
Source: RefSeq, a predicted model, not a curated record